Long non-coding RNA from Polyodon spathula (Mississippi paddlefish), 2459 nucleotides. RefSeq lists it as uncharacterized. Lineage: Eukaryota; Metazoa; Chordata; Actinopteri; Acipenseriformes; Polyodontidae. The transcript is spliced from 3 exons. The record is from RefSeq and is a predicted model, not a curated record.
UCCAAAGGCAGUGCUCUGAUAGGAAAAAAGCCCCACCUUAAAUACAACAAAUUCAGUACCAUGAGUCUAUACUGAAGUGAAGAAAAAAACAAACAAACAGUACAGAUCUUACAACAUAGGAAAGACUAUAUUUCAUUGUUCAGGAAGAUGAGAAUCCAAGAGGACAGCAACAGCAGCAUUGGGGUGCACCUCCCAUUGACAGGACCAUUGUCUAAGAAACACAUCACGUAGCCUGAUUGCACUAACGCUUCCAACGUAUUAACACAAGGAGGUUACCCCGGACCCCCCACUCCUCCUCCUGCUCAUCCACGACAAAUAUCCUGGACCAGCAUUCCAGCUGAUAAAACUUGGGACUAUGCAGUGACCAUUCUAUUCUGAUUGAGACAUCUGCAAUUGUGUCUAUAGGACACAGCAGUUAAGACAUUGCUCAAAGGAAGCUAACAGUGCUUUUAUCCCAGUGCUAGUUGACCUGCAGAAAUGCUUCACCAGCUGGUAAAGACAGUUGCAAUUUCCACACCCUGCCUUGGGGAACAUAGGCAUCCAUGUUGUCACAUCACCAACAAUGUCACAGGUGAAGACUGGGUUUGUCACCCACCAUAGCCUGUAAUAUCACUCUGUCCAUUAAUGGAGAUAGUAACCAGUGUUAGCUAAUUCCCAUCAAGAAGUCGAAGAGAAAUGAUAUCUGCUCCCAUAAAGCUGUAGUAAGGUUAUGUACAUAUUGACUUCCUUUUAAAGCCAUGUUUUAUGGCUCUUUUGGGGGCUUUUUCUCACAGGUUGUCAAGUCAGAAGGUCAUGGGCACUGUGUGUAUGUGUGUGUGUGUGUGAGUGUGUAUAUACAUGUGGUAUACUAUGCUCCAGCCAGUAUUAGAGCACUCUUGGCACACACAGCUUUCCAGUUCUUGUUACAAGGCAUUAUACACGCAUACAUGCAUGCAUACUUACACACAUUCUGUAAUGUAUAUAAGAAAGACACAUACAGGUACCACUGAUAAUCAUCGUGUAAGGGAAAAGGACUAGUGUAAUUUCAAAAAUAAGAUUCUAUUCUAUACAGCAGUGCAUCUUUACACAUUUCAAACUCUAUCAUGCUCUAACAAAGCCACGCUUAAGGGCUCCCUAAUUGAAACGCUUCGGGGAAAUUUCCAGCUACCUCUGGGAUUUCAGUGCUUGCCGAAGUCGUUAUUUGCAGUAAUCCUGGCUAAUCUUAUUAUUCUACACUUGUAAUAUUUGUAUGACUGUAAUUCUAAAUGUAUACCUCCAGUCGUAACAUGUUGAGCAGCUCCAUUAGCUAAACUCGCAAAGUGCUAACUUAAAACGCAAAAUGUUUGGAGAGAUUGUAAGUUUUCAAAGUCUGCAGUACAAAGCUGCAGUCUAAGUGCCAUCGCUGCGAGUGGCGGUUUUGUUACAUCACGUGUGUUGCGCAGUCCAUGCUCAGGUAGGGUUAGGGUUAACUAACAGUGGCAGAGACCUCAAUACAGGUGCGUGCAUGUUCUGUCCACUGCCAUUGUGACACUUACUGGCAUGUGGCAGAUAAUUCAAUUAUACAGCAUGGACUGUGGCGGUGUGCUGAUGCUGGUAAUUUCAGAGUAAUUACCUUCUAAGAAAACUAAGGAAAGUGAAAAAAAAGAUUUAGUAUGAAAAGGAUAGAUGAAACAUGUAUAUUUUAACUAUACUUUCAGAAAUAUACUUCACUACAUAUUACAAUGGAAUGGGUAAUUUUCACGGAAAUCGUAAAAAUCUGUGACAGUCAUGGAAAAAAUACAGCCUUGCUUAUCACUUGUCACCUGAACCCUAUUCAAACAAAUUAAGUGUUCUGCUGUGCCUCCAAGGCCAUAAUGCUAUAAUGUCCAUGUUGAAUCAAACUCAUACACUCUAACACAGUUAUGGGACAUGCUCUGGAGGAUAUGUCCAGAACUAGGAAUUACACUUCAGAUGUUAGGAUUAGAAUUAGCAUAAGGUUCCUAAAAGAAAUUCUAAUCCCCAAACUAUGUUAAGAGCCUUACUUAGCAUAGCAAAAACCCUGCCAAGCAAUAAUUUAGAAACAGGACAUGAUCCUGAAUAUAAAAAUGAGCAAGUCAUGGAGACCUUAGGGUCAGCCUCUAGACUGCAAACCAUUUUAUGUAGAAAUUAAUUCAUGGACAGAAUGAACAUUUUGCAAUACUAGUAAAAAAAAAAAAAAAAAAAAAAGGAGCCCCUAAAUGAAGAGAGUCUGUCCCAGUUUGAUAGAUAAACUCCCACAUUGUAAUGCUUCAUAUUCAUAAACAGCAUUGUGACGCGUUUGAAUUAUUAAAUAAUUCUCUCUGUUUCAUCUAGGUGUAAUGGCAGUGUUGUGUGACAAAUGCAGACAAGCCUGACUCUUUUGCAUUGUCAUUAAGAUGCUUGUUUGCGGUUCGCAGAGCCACUGGUUCAUGCCCAACAUCCGCCCUGACACACAGGCAAACUGCAGUCACUGUGAUUGCUUG